CCAAAACGCUGGCGCAGCCCCUGUUUUAUUUUUUUGUUCGUAUAAUUCAGUUUACAUACACUCUUUUCUUCUCUCAAUUUCUCAAUUUGCCCGUCCCCUUAUCGAACCUUUUUCAUCUUCGGACGUCACGUCCCUCUUUGCCGUUUCAUCAAACAGUUGGGGGACAAAACAAUCCUCUUCUUCUUCCCCCAUUUACAUAGCUGCUGUGGAAACCCUAGAAUUAAUCCUGAUGGAAUUGAGCUUUGUUCCUCUUCAUCAAUUGGUUGUUGAAUCUGAUGCGUGAAUUGGUUCGAUCUAUUGCUUCGAGGUCGGUCGGAAUUUUCGAUUGGCGGAGUCGACAAUGGAAAAUCAAUUACAAUUGGCCUUGACCAGUCCUACGACGCCGUUCUCGAGCUUGUUCGACUCGCAGAAGGAAAUCCUCAAUAGCCAGAUUUAUCAGCUCCAAAACAUCGUUGUACAACAAUGUAACCUCACUGGCGUCAAUCCACUCUCUCAAGAGAUGGUUCGUUUUCUUAAUCUUUGUUUUUUCUGAAGUUUUUUUAUUUUUAUUUGAGUACUUGUUUCUCUUAAAAUUCUGAAUUUGCCUCUUGUACUUUGUUGGUAGUGAUUGUUUUAGGAAAUGUAGGAACUAGCAUUGGCUAAGUUGACAGUUCAUUAUGUUUUAUGGUUAACUAGAUUCACCUUUUACAGUACAGAAAUGGUAAUGAAUUUAUGUUUAAGUCAGAAGUGUAACAUACUAUAUGUGGUUGUACAGUUGAAGGACUGAUAAAUAACUUGAGAUUAGCAGCGCGUAUCCAUUUUUUUGAGUUGAGGACUAGCAUGUCUUAAUAGUUUCUGUUUAUCCAGAAGGAUAGUAAAAACAAUAGCUACCUUUUGGCAUAAUUUGCAUUUUAUUAAUUUAAGAUCUCUGGUGUGGUUUGUGUGGCAGAAUUUAUUUCACAGAAAAGAAUUCCUUAACUUUCCAGUUCAAUUGCUGGUGGGAACUUAUUUCUGCUGGUGGCUCAUUCAUUUUUCUUCCGUUGUGCAGGCUGCUGGAGCUCUUUCAAUAAAAAUUGGUAUGUCUCCUUGGCCUAAAUUAAAAUCAUGAUGCUUGUGUAGUCGAGUAAAAAAUUUAGUUGACUCGGAUCCCUUCUGAGAAUGAAAAGACAGUAGGUCAUAUUGACAUGUUCAUUUGUUACUCUUAUAUUAUUUUUUCACAUUGAUUAUACUACGUGAAGCAUGUUGCCUUUGUUGGGUGGUUCUUUCAUUUUAUUCUGUUUUAUUUGCUUUUUACUUGUCAUUUUGUUUUUUAUUUUAUUUGCUUUUUACGUCAUUUUAAUUUUUUUUUUAUUUGCUUUAGUAGUAGUUUUUUUUCGUUGCCAAGUACAACAUUGCUUUUAUGUACCAGAAUUACUUGUCUUGAUGUUUAAGGUGAACUUGCUUAAUGAGCUAAGUUGCUACUGUCAUCUUUUUCUUACAAGGUGAUGCUUUGAUCCAAAUUAUAUGUAAUGCGUCUUUUUAGUUAUUAGCGUAAAUGAUGCUCUUGACUUCUUCAAUUUUUGUGCAAGCUACUCUGAUUCCAUUUGUAUUCUGUUAGUUUAACAUCAUCUGUUGCAGGCAAAAGGCCAAGGGAUCUCCUAAACCCCAAAGCAAUCAAGUAUAUGCAAUCUAUUUUCUCUGUCAAAGAUGCAAUCAACAAGAAGGAAACGCGUGAAAUCAGUGCUCUUUUUGGUGUCACAGUCACACAGGUGUGUGACGUCCCUUUUUCACAGUUUUUAGUAAUCCUUUCUCCAUUCUACCUGGCUGGAGUUUUGUUUAAAACUUUUCUACAUUUGUGAAUGUCGAUUAUUUUAAAUCUGAUUGGAUUCCUUGUCUAGAAAUUGGGUUAGGAUCAUAGAUCAAUAAGAGCAAUGGCUUGACUUGUAAAUCUCAGUAUCUCUCAUUUGUUUCAUGAGCAAUGGUUUGACUUGUAAAUUUCAGUGUCUCACAUUUGUUCAUGCUAUGAUGUGCAAUAAUCCUAUGCUCAUGACUCGUCAUUGUUCAAAAGAUUUAUAUUUUUCCGUGGAAUGUCAGUCUUAAAAACUAUGAAAGGAGCUUAUGUUGGUGGCAUUUGCAUGCUAGUUGCACCAUCUUUCUUUAGUUCAGUUUUGCUAUUUUGGAUAUUAGGAGCACACUAGUGCUUUUGAGAACAGGCUAUUUUGGAAUUAUGCACCUUUUUGUGUAUGAUGAUGUAGCUCCUUAGUCCUUAGAAAUACAUUCCCUUUUCUCCUUUGCUUUUUUGGGCGGUUUGGGUAUGGACAGAUUCCUUAAUCCCUUCUGCAUAGACAUUCAGUAGCUAUCCCUGAUGCAAUUUAAGCUGGAAGAUGAUAUAAGAUCUGUGCAUUUUCCGAUUUCAUCUUCUCUGACAACUUUCACGUUGUUUGUUUGAAUACCAUCUUUGCAUUUGCAGGUUCGGGACUUCUUUACAGCUCAGCGCACGAGAGUUAGAAAGUUCCUGAGGUUGUCUAGAGAGAAGCCUAUCAUAACCAAUUUAUCUAUUGAAGGGUCUUGUCCGAUCCCAUUGAGUUCUGAUCCUAGUUCACAAACAGAACCAGUUCCCCUAGACAGUGCGGUUCCAAUCUGUACAGAGGAGGGGCCAUCUUGUUCGACACAAGAUGAGGUCCUAACUGCCAUGGAGGAGAGGGAUAGACAUUUUGUUGGUAAUAUCCUUACUUUAAUGUGCAAGGAUGAAACCUUUUCUGGGAGGGUUAAGCUGAUGGACUGGAUCUUGGAAGUACAAAACCCCUCUGUGCUAUAUUGGUACGUGAGAGUUAUGGUCGUUGAAUUUAAAUUGUAUUCUAGUGUACUCCUUUUCUAAUAUAAUUUGUUUUCUUAAUAACAUAUUUAUAGGUUUUUAACUAAAGGGGGUGUAAUGAUCUUAUCUGCAUGGUUGAGUGAAGCAGCUGGAGAAGAGCAAACCAGCAUUCUUCAUCUCAUCCUGAAGGUCCAUAUUGAUCCUUUAAUUUUAGAUCAUUUGCCCAUAAUGUCAUUUUUUCUGCCAGAAUAUUGUUGUUCUAAUGGUUGCUUGGUUAUCAGGUACUAUGCCAUCUUCCUUUACACAAAGCAUUUCCUGGACAUAUGUCUGCUAUACUGCAGAGUGUUAACAGUCUGCGAUUUUAUCGGACUCCAGGUGUGUUGUCCUCGCAUUCAACAACUCCUUAUUUUAUCUUUAGGUAUCUUUGUGCUAAAAAGACAUUAAGAAACUUAAACUGCUCAUCUUCAGGGCUUAUACAUUUCUGGUAGCUUGUCUGUAGCUAGAGUGUCAUUGAUAUUGUGCCGCAUUACAGAAUUUCCUGAAACUUAGUUGGAUAUUUAGGAAACAUGUCAAUCAAAGUCAGCACAUCUUUUUAUACUAGCAGUGGCAUCUCUACUGAACUAUUUACUCAGUGAAUCACACAUUACAUAGUGCUGCUCUGAAGAAUUAUGCAUAUUUGGCAUGUCAUAUAAAUAUUAGGACAUUACUUCAGAAAUCACUGUGCUGACAAUGUAAUCAUUUUCAAUAUUUCGUUAUCUCAGACGAUCUGUUGUGUUUUUGCUGUCAAAUAAGGACAGUGUUCUUGGAAACUAUUGCACUGGCGAUACAUUCAACUAUAUCUUUCUUUAUUUCAGAUGAACUUUUGAACAUUCGAUGUGUGAAUUUUUUAAUGAUCCUGAUUUGAUACUUUAACUGAUCAUAUUCUGAGAAACAAUGGAAAACAUCAUCGAAUAAAUGUGUUUGUUUCUAGACUGCAUCAGUAAUAUAAAAUUUGUUAGAUAAGAAGAGACUACUAAAAUAGAUGUCGUGCCAUUUGCUUUUAUUUGUAUCAGCCGGUUAGAGUAAUUUGCUAUUUCGGUGGGGUUUAUACUGUAUUUUCAUGAUAGCUGGCUUCUGUACUGCACUAUACUUAUAUUUUUUGGGAAGGGGAGGGGAGUGGAUGGGUAGUUGAGAGAGAGAAAUCCUUCUUUAGCUCCAUCAGUAUUUUGGAUCUCAUUCAUCUGAUUUGAAGAUCAGAUAUCUCAAACAGGGCAAGAAUUUUGCUUGCAAGAUGGAGCAAGAUAUUUGCAAAGAGCCAUGCUAUGAAGAAACGUAAUGGGAUUAAAUCUGCUAGUGAUAUGCAUGAUGAGUUGUUAUUGCAGCAGAGGUAAGCUUAGGUCGUGCCUCAAAAACACCUGAUCGACUUUUCUCAUUUAUCAACACAUUUGUUGCUAUUUGCAGCAUUAGCGAAGUUGUGGGCGAUGAAAUAUGGAACUCAAAAAUUGAGGACGUUGUAAGUUUAUUGCGUACUUAAAUGUAUUUGGUUUAGAAGAUGCUGUUUUUUGAAUAAAAAAGAAGAUCGGAUUUUCUAUUCUUACUUUAUCAUUUUCCUUCUGUUUGGUAUUUUAGGAAGAAGCUCAUGCAAACCUCUGUGGGACUUCAGAGAAUUCAAGGUCUGGUGUGUUCUUACUACCUUGCUUUUUGUAAUUGUUGAUGAAUUUCUAAGCACACACCUCUCUUUCAGGAAUUUGGAUUCUCCACAUCCAGUUAAAUUGCUUAUGGCAUCUUCAGAUGACUCUAACAAGAGGCUUAAAGGAGCUUUGGUGACUAGUAUCCUUAUAUUCCCCUAUGGUUAAUUCAAUUUGUCAAUAACUUUCAGUGUAAGGUCUUCAUUUAUCUCGAUUGAAUGAUGGCUCCUCGUUCCGUGGACAAUAAUUGGAAGAAAAUUUGAUCUCUCAUUUAUUUCCAUGCUUUGAAAUCAUUGGUAUUCAGAAGUUUCCAUAGGGACAUACUCAUCAAAUAGAUUUGAGCAUGGUAGGGAAAAUAGCUAUGGUUUUUCCUCUCCUUCUCUGAUUUCUUACACUUGCAUAGAAUCCCUUAACUACUUCAGAAACUCGAGAGCGCAGAAAAGUUCAGCUAAUGGAACAACCAAGCCAAAGAACAACGGGAAGAAGCCUAGGAAGACCAGCACCUGCAACUCAAGGCCGCCCACUCUCAGCAGAUGAUAUCCAAAAAGCAAAAAUGCGAGCACAGUUUAUGCAGAGUAAAUAUGGGAAACCUAAUAAUGAUGAGAGUUCUCGGGUGAAGCCUCAAGCUCCAAAUGGAAUUACCUCUUCACCAAAUGGUAUCUUGCUUGGAGCUCCAAAAUUUCAAGAUCGGCCUAAAGUUGAGGAAUGUGAAAAGCUCAAUAGUGUUGCCUCUAAUGGGCCCAAUCAGCUGGAAAAUCAUCUCAAGUUGAGUUUUGACAUAGAGGAACCUCCAUCGAAAAGGUGCAAGAAAAUGCAGAUCCCUUGGCGGAAACCACCAGGUAAAUUUGCUGUUGUUGUUGCUGAAAGACCGUUCUUGUUAAUCUGUAGAUUUCAGAAAAGGAGGAACAUUAGUUUUUUUAAUAGGUUGAAAAGGCAAUCUCACCCAUCUUGUCUAAUAUUAUUGCUCAAUUUUUUCUCCACAAUUCCCUUCAUUAUUCUUUUUGCUUUCUCUGUCCCAAUUUAUGUGACACACUUUCCCUUUUAGUCUGUUUAAAAAAGAAUGUCACCUGCCCCCAAUGCCUAGCUCAAGUGGCAAAAGGUGGAGGAUUUGUGGCUUAGGUCGCAGGUUCAAGUCCCACACCAUGCAAAGCGAAGUCCGGUAUUUAAGUGGAGAAGGGUAGAGGGGCGGGCCCAUUAUCCACCGAGUUUAAAAGUCUGUGAUUGGUCCAAAGGGCGGGUCACAGACGGAUUACUCGGUUAUCAAAAAAAAGAAAAAAAGAAUGUCACCUUUCUAUAAUUAGAAACUAUUUAACUUUAAAAUUUUACUUUUACCCUUUUGACAUGAUUUAUAGCCACACAAAUGGUCAAGGUUUAGACCACACAUUUCAGAAAUUUUCGUUUCUUUCUUAAACUUUGUGCCAAGUGAAAUGGUGCCACAUAAAUUGGGACGGGAGUGAGUAAUACACAGGAUUCAACUGUGAGAAUUGUCUCUAGUAAAGUAGUUAGCAACUCAGCCUUGGUCUCUAACUUGCCAUACAAUAUGGUUAGCAUGGUCUUCAACUUGUCAGAAAAAAGAAAAGAAAAGGAAAAUAAUUUUUUUUUGAGCUUUGCUCUCUAAUUAUAUUUUCAUGGUAGUUGAGCUAAAGACGAUCAGGUUUCUGUUGUCUUCCAUAAGUUCAUUAUUCUAGGAACUAAUUACUGGGGAAAUAUAGAUGUGGCUUAGUAAAACUACUAGCUCAACUCUAGAAAUAUCUCUGAAGCGAACUGUUAGUUUUCAUUGUUAAACUAUCAAUUGGGCAUAUUAGGAGUGAGGUCUUGAUCUUUUAAUCACAAUAAGCAACUGUUUCCAUUUGGUUUUUAUUGUUGUAUUUCGAAAAUCUCUUGGAAGUUAUGGGUUUUCUGUGGAGCAGUUGAUUGCCAAGUGUGCCUUCUCAUUGUGAAGGAAAUCCUACUUGCAAGUAAAGGGAAACUUUUUGCCUGACACGGAUGAAAACGUUCCACAUUAUGCUUAAAAUCAAUCAGACAGGAAUAAUCAGAAAAAGAAGCAGUGGAGUAAAGGUUAAUGGUACUUUUAUAGGAGACCUGUCUUAGGAAAAUAUCAAUCUAUUUUUUGAGUUAACCGCUUAUAGUGUGCUUUUAUUGAUGAUCAGUAUGAGAGGCCAGAACACGAUAAAUUAGGUGGGAAUAUACUGUACCUCAUAAUCUUUUAUACUUUUGACUCUUCAUUGCCAUAUGCUCUUUACAAAAGGCUCAACAGUAUGGAGUUCAGUAAUUUUUUGUUUUCUCUGUUUGCUUGUUUUAAAAUUUGUGGACAAUGGUUUACACUAAAAUUUUUGUGGAAAAUGGUUUACAAUAAAAUUUUUGUGGACAAUGGUUUACACUAAAGGAUAAAAACAAGUCAUUUUCUGCUGUGAUACCCUUUCUAUCUUUAGAAUUUUACUCUCUUCUAGUUUUACAUCUACAGACUAUUAUCAGCCCUUACCAUAACUACCCAUUGUCCUGCAAAAUUUUUAGGGGUCGUUUGUGUUAGUUAUGUUGGGAUUAGUUAUGCCUCUAUUAGUUAUCCUGGUAUAAUUUCUUAUUGACUGUUCAAUUUUUUUGUAUUACAAAUAACAUGCAUUGGAUAAUUUUUAAGUUAAUUGUUUACAAAAAUACCCUUCAACUUAUUAGUUGAAAAAGGGUUUGAGGGACCUCAUGGGUAUUUUUGUCAUUUUUUAUCUCGGAAUAACUGAUUCCGGUACUGUUCCACCCUCCAAUAGGGAUAAUCUAUUCCGGUACUAAUUACUAAUUUCGGCAUAACUUAUCCCAAGACUAGUAUCCAAACAAGGAAUAAGGCACUACUAAAUUUAUCUCUGGACUAUGUAUGCUUGUUCAGUAGACUAGGCGAUCCUUAGAGAAUGUAAUAUUAUUACAGGGUGUUAUCAUCUAUCAGAAUUUUAGUUUGGUCAAACAUUGAAGCUAGUUUUGGCACGACAUGUUAAUGAAGCCAAAUGUGUGUUCCUAUUUUUCUAUCGUUUGGGGUUUGGAUUUUUUUUUGUUGUUGAUGAAAAUGGUUAAGAUAUAGGUGUGUUUGGCACUGAUGGGAAAGUUAUUCGCAAAAAAUGUUUUAGUCAAGGAAAAUAUUUUGUAGUGCUUAAUUGCAUUCAAUCGUGGAAAAUAUCUUAUGCCUAAUGGGUUCAUUUUUCUUUACAAAAUAUUCUACCAUUCAAUCAACACUAAGUGUAGUUUGGUAGCUGGUUUGGAGGUGAGUUAUGCACGUAUAAUUUUGCAUAAGUAAUACCAUGUCCCAGCAUUACUAAUACACCAUAUUGAUACUUUUCUUAUACUUAACCAAACGAUCUGUCAGAUAUAAUUUCAGUAUCUAAUUCUAAAAGAUAUCGUCAAAACUCUAAUAGCAUACCUUGCAGUCUUGCACAUUGCACGAUUACUACGACUAUCUAUUAUUAUACCCACAAACAUUGGAGAUGAUCUAAAAAAUGGUGACCUGACUUAAAAGAUGUUUUUCACAAAAAAGUAUUUUCAUCUAAAACGUUUUUCUCUGUACAGAGAGCACCUUAGAAAAGAAAAUGUCUUCUUUAAAGGCGCGAACAAGUAAUUGCCUGCUCUUCCUAUAGCUGCCUUACUGUCAUCAAUGACUGUUCCCUUUCAUCAGCUCUUGCUGUUGAACUCUUCCUCACCUUCACCCGAUCACAGUUGGCAUGAAGGAAAAUUUUGGGAUGAUGAAAAUUUUAUGUAAUUCAUUGAUAAGUUUCUUACCUUGUCUAUCAAAAACAACUUUACCCUCCUUAGCUUUCAUUUGUGGGAUUACAUUGUGUUUGUUGUUGUACUUUUUAUUUACUGGUUAGAUAUCAAAAGAUCAUAUUAGAGAUUGGCGUGAGGGGUGGGUGGGUUCUUUGUCCAAAAAGAAAAUUUGAAAGCAGGAUGGAUAUAUGAGAUUUGUUGAUCUGCAGAGAAUGACUAACCCCAACCACAUUCCCCCGUGGAGUGGCAUUCAUCAGACUAACAACAACGGUUGCUGCAGAUUAUAAGAUCUUUCUUAUGGGUCUAAAUUGUAGAGAUAGGAUAUUUGCAGUGUCAGUUACUUAUCCCCCCCCCCCCCCCCCCCCCCCCCCNNNNNNNNNNNNNNNNNNNNNNNNNNNNNNNNNNNNNNNNNNNNNNNNNNNNNNNNNNNNNNNNNNNNNNNNNNNNNNNNNNNNNNNNNNNNNNNNNNNNNNNNNNNNNNNNNNNNNNNNNNNNNNNNNNNNNNNNNNNNNNNNNNNNNNNNNNNNNNNNNNNNNNNNNNNNNNNNNNNNNNNNNNNNNNNNNNNNNNNNNNNNNNNNNNNNNNNNNNNNNNNNNNNNNNNNNNNNNNNNNNNNNNNNNNNNNNNNNNNNNNNNNNNNNNNNNNNNNNNNNNNNNNNNNNNNNNNNNNNNNNNNNNNNNNNNNNNNNNNNNNNNNNNNNNNNNNNNNNNNNNNNNNNNNNNNNNUUACCUCCCCCCCCCCCCCCUCCCCGCGCACACCCCACAAACAACGUCAGCACAUUGUAGCAAAGAAAAGGUGUAAAUAAACUCAUAAAAGCAACAUGGGUGCUGCCUGUAGAUGUAUGUUUCCGAAGGCCAAAUGCAAUCUGUCUUCUGCAUAUGUAGGCAGCAAUACUAACAUCCAACAAACUUCUUCCAUGCACAUAUGAUUCCAAGAGGCCAACUCCAAAUUUGAAGCUUAACAAAAUUGUAGUUUGAUGUUGGAUUGGUUGUUUCUUGUUGAGCUCCAAAAUUGUGGACAGGGAAAACAAUCAAGUGUUUCAAAUGUUAAUGGUGGUACGGACAUGGUUAUCCUUUUGAUGUUGGAUGCCAUGUGAUUAUUUUGUUUUAUUAUCUUUGCGGAGACAAAACUAGGGUUGACAAACAGCAGCUCUUUUAUGUAGCUCAAGGUCUUGAUCAGUUUACCAUGUGUUGUUGGGUCCGGUUAUUCAACGUUGAUACUCAUAUAAUUCUGGCCCUUCUACCCUCCCCUCCUCCUUUCAGUUCCCGGCUCGAUGUGUAGAAAAUCCAGGAUGGAAAAUUGCAGACUCAUCAUUUUCAUUUUGAGGAUAAAAAAUAGCUGUGUAAUCACCAGUUUUGUUACUUUUCAGUAUGUCUUACUGUGUCUGAAGUUGCAAAUAACUUUUAAAAACAACAUUUCUAAGUGGUAAUUGUUGCCUUGUGGUUUAACAAAUUUGAAUAGUCCACAGCUGCUAGUAUCUAGUUGGGAGAUAAUGUACGCAUGCAAAAAUUUGAACUCGUCUGUUAAUGGGUCAUCCUUAUUCAAGCUUUUCUGUUUGAUGCAGAAAUGCAGCCCAGCGAUGCAUGGAAGGUUUGUGCUGGGGGUGAGAGUAAAGAAGUCGACGUUCAGAAUAAGAGAAUCCGUCGAGAGAGGGAAAUCAUUUACAGGACAGUCCAGGAAAUUCCAUUGAAUCCCAAGGAACCUUGGGACCGUGAAAUGGACCCUGAUGACACAUUAACCACAGAACUCCCGCUUGAGCAAUUACCAGAUGCAGAAGGUGCUGAAACAGGUGUGUUGCCGCAGGAGGACAGAGAAACUGAAACUGCUGCAUUAGCCAGUACGUCAAAUGGCAUUGCAACUACAGCAGAACCUGAUGUAGAGUUGCUUGCUAUACUGCUAAAACAUCCAGAGCUGGUUUAUGCUUUGACGUCUGGCCAAGGUGGAAACUUGUCCAGUGAGCAAAUUGUAAAGCUGCUUGAUUCGAUCAAAGCCGAUGGGAGGAAUUCACUGAGCAUUCAAACAAAUUUAGCCAGAGACGCUGAGAAGAAAGUUGAAGUUUCUCUUCCGUCCCCCACUCCUUCCAGUGAUCCUGGAACGGUGCGUUAUUUAGUCACAUUUUGUACAGAUUUCAACUAUUAUGGAAUUUGGGCGGGGCUUUCGUUUCCUCAGUUGUCUCCUCUCCUCUCUCUUUCCCAUUUUUUUCUCCACUUCUCAUUUAUAGUUUUUCCAGACAAGUAAACGAGAAACAAAUAAACAAAUAAAUAAAAUAAUCAUAAAGCAAAUGAAGCCUGGACUCUGAAUCACGUUGGUAAAUACAAGUUGUCUUCCUAGUUAGCACUGUACUUUGAGAAUUUCCGCUUAGUUCGAGGUCUCCUUAACACAAACAAGGAUGUUUCAAAUAAAACAAAAUACUUAAAUAAUAUAGUGGGUUAAUUGUAGUGCUAUACUAUCUUCUUGACAUCUUAGUACUUUUCUGAAACGGGCUCUAAUUUUUUUCAACUUUUUUUUUUGGUCUUUCAUGCAGAGUGGAUUGUCGAUGCAGAACUUUGCUAAAAACCCUUUCUCGCAGAGAAGUUCAAUGGUGGUUCCAGAAGCAAAUGGUGUACAUCAACACGCUGCAUUGGUCUAUUCGCAGGAAACGCUUCAACCUAGCAGUUUGGUGCAUCAGCAGGUCCCCCUUGCGCCACAAUUAGCCCAACAGUUGGCACUGCUUCAAGCAGCUGCAGGGUCUUAUGGAAAUGAUCAUCGACCAUCUCCUCUAAAUCCUAGUAUAAACCAGACAGUCCUUACAAAUCCUAUGCAUUCACAAUUUUCCGCCACCUCAGAACCAGCAGUAAAUAGAAAUAAUUACUCUCCCUUUGGAUUGACGGAAUACAAUCAACAGAGCGCCACUGCAGCAGCAACAGCAACAGCAAGAAUCCAAGGUGAAACAUAUGGUAAUAUUCGAUCUUCGCAAAUGUCUAUAGCUAAUGUGCAACAAAGAACUAUUAGCCUACAUGCACCUCAAAUGACACCACAAAGGCCACAACUACAAACACAGGCGCAACCUGGAUAUGCACCUGAACAUAUGUGGGGGACUAUACCCGGAUCUGCUUUAAAUCGGGGUUAUCAAGAAAAUGCCAUUCCUAAUCAUUACAAUCCACAUGUUGCCGGACAUGUAGAACCAGGAUUACAACAGGCUGCAUGGAGAGGAAACAGCAACUAUUCCGAGGGAGCUGGGUUUGAAUCUUGGAGUCCUGAUAAUAGUCCUGUUAGGCGUCAGGAACAGGUUGCAAGAUGGAAUUACACACAACCUCAGAUGAAUAUGAGAGACAACUACAGACCUGAUUGGUCUGCAUCGCGUAAUCCUGGGCAUUAUUCUGGUUAUCGUGGUCCUGACGAUGGUGGUAAUAGGAGGUGGGGUGACAGGAGAAGAUAACCUUCAAACGGCUGGCCAUUUGAUUCUUUUGACGAGUGAUUCAUUAGUGUUUACAUUAGAGUAGAGCGUUCUCAGAGGGGGUUGCAUUUUUGCAACGUGAAAUGGUUGUAAACUUGUAAUGUCAGCAUGUCACAUCACUUUAUUUUGUUUCCCAAUUGGUACCUGUCAACAGAAAAAUAGAAAAUAGGAAUUCAGUUCACUUGGGAUCAUGCCAAGAUUCUUUAGAAAAAAAAAGAAGAAAUUUAUCCUAGUCAAGGGAUUGCUAUGUCUUGGUUGUGUCCCUACUUAAAAUGCUGGGAAUAAGUUAUUUCGAGAUUAAUUAUUUUGAGAUAACCUAAGGAAAAUAUUUUUAGGUCUGCCUACUAUUUUCUAAUCAAAUGCAGGAUAAAAUAAUUCUGCAUUGUAUUUGUGGGAUUAUUAUACGUUAUAUAUUACACGAGACGAUUUCUUAUGAACUUAAAAUUAAAGAAUUACUAAAAAAUAAAAGUGUCAUUCUUUUUUAAACACACUAAAAAAGAACAAAGAACGUAUGUUAAACAAAUUGAAAUGGAGGCUAGAGGUAGUAUUAAUACUCAUUCUGUACUAAUUUAUGAGGCAAAUUUAUACUUUAUUAUUGGCGGAUGAAAAUGAAGUACAUGAUUUUUUUAAAGUUAUAUUUGAAUAAAUUUUAGGGAACUUAUUAGUUACAGUUCCUAGUAUCUUCUAUAGGCAAACUGGCGAAGUAUCUGAUUCUCUCUUGCUCACAGCUCAUGCUAACGACUAAUUCUCAACGGCGAAAAUCGGUACUUGACCAAUUACAACUACUCGCCGGCGUUUCACAUCAUUUCUUCAUCGGAAAACUUCAACAGUAGUCGGAGCAACUCUCCAAUUUGAUCCAGCUGAAGAAUCUCUAAAUAUGGUAGCUAGAUUCAUCACAAGCAGUCUAAAUCGAAUACGAAAAACCUACUCAAUAUCACCAACUAUCAGUAGGCACAAUUACGAUUUCACUCCUCUAUAUGUAUCUCUGAGUUUCUAAUUCGGUGCUGACGAUUCAGCUACACGUGUUGUGAAUCCGAGUUUCAUGCUUCACAAUAUAUGGCAUACGGGCGAUUCAUAUUCUCAUCAUCAUGUCCAUCAUGACGUCCGCUCCGGUAUGACGGAGAGAAGAUUUUCUGGCUUGGACUUGCUGCUGAUAUUGGCCUUGCCGCCAGAAAAGCUUUUACAGGUUAAGUAUGUGGAAGCACCGCCAUUAUUGCUGAUGCGGCUCAUUCUAUCUCCGAUGUGGUAUGUGUGACGUAUCUAUUGAUGUUUAUUGUUUAUCUAACUUUAAUCUAUAAAAAUGAACUCUGACUUUAAUCUCUUGACCAUUUGACAAUAGAGGUUGUGAGUUUCCAGAAAAUGAGCAACAUAAAAUCUGGUUUUACUUUCUAUUAAACAAGUCGAACAUAAGUUUGAUAGAACUUGAUAAACCAGCAAAAAAGUUAUUGAUGAAAGCAAACUGGAUACUUCAUUAUAAAUUCCAGACUAAUUAAUAGAGUUCACAAUCUCAACUGAAAUAAAACAAAAUAACUUCUAAGAAUUAGGGAUAAAACUGCUACACAGAUUACAGCGAACUUAGACUGUUGCAGUUUUUAUGCAUUUUUGUAACACUCUUUGCUUUAAGACCUGCAAACUCCAAGGUUUUGCAUGAGAAGUUAAAUUUGUUGCCUGGUAAACGCUUGGUGAAGAUAUAAGCCUGCUGGCCCUCAUUUUUGCAAUAGAGAAAACUCACAUCACCAUUUUUUUGCAUUUCUCUUAUGAAGAAAAGCCUGAUAUUGAAGUGUUUAGGUUUACCAUGAAAUAUAGGAUUGUGAGAAAUUGCAAUCGCAAAUUGGUUGUCCACAUAUACUUCAGUUCCUUUUGUUUGAUUCAUAUGCAUUAUCAACCAAUAUUUUCCUCAACCACAACACUUGAUUCACUGCUGCUAUUGCAGCCACAAAUUCUGCCUCUGUAGUGGAUUGAGCCACAAUGAGCUACUUCAUUGAUUAUCAUGAAAAAAAUACCUAAACCACAACACUUGAUUCACUGCUGCUAUUGCAGCCACAAAUUCUGCCUCUGUAGUGUUGAGCCACUAUGAGCUACUUCUAAUGCUUUGUUAUGGCCUUUGCAGGUUCUGUGUGGUGUGUCAUUGCUGUCCUUUCAAGCUGCAAGGGUUCCCAAGGACAAAGAACAUCCAUGUGGUCACUCUUAAUUUGUAUCUACACGUAAACUCUUUUGAUCUUACAUCACUUUCUGUACAUGGCUUUAUCUUUUGAUUUUGUGCUUGUGUUUACUUGUGUAAUAGGUGGAUGUAAUAGCUGCCAACGUAAUUAGAUUUAGUUAACUGAGGACUGUUCGUUCCCGUGGUUGAUUUGAUAAAAUUAACCAAUAUAUGAUAUUGUAAUAGAGGUGAUAUGAUAUGAAUGUUAUAUCAUAUCUUCUAUAUUUAUCAAUGAAUACAAAUCUUAUCAACUUUACGUCUUAGUGGAAGGCAGACAGCCCUAGAAACAUGUAAAUAUGAGACUCUUCGAGCUCUUGGAAUUUCUGGUGUGCUGUUGGCUACUGCUGGUGGCAUAGGAUGGCAUGCUUUAGAUGUUUUGCUGGUAUGUAUCUAUGGCUAGUAUUCAUUAUGUCUAGGAGUCUAUAUUCCCAUUGUUUGAAAUUUUUUGAGACAUUUCUUGCAGGGAUUGUGGUCUGCAGCCUCUGAAGUUGUUAAUCAGUCAAUGACUCCUCUGCACGUGCAUGAGCAACAUCAUCAUGGAAUUGAUAUGGAUCACCCUAUCCUUGCUUUGAGUGUGACAAUACUCUCUAUAGCUGUCAAAGAAGGGUAAGAUUCAUUUUCACCUUCAAUUUGAAAAUUAAAAGAAUUUGUUCCCUUUUCUUUAUGUAUCCAUAUACAUAUUACCUUCAAGCAAUUUUAUUUUUAUGAAAGAGAGUUUCUUUGUAUUGAUUUAUUUUUUAUGAAAGACAGUUUAUUUGUACACCAUCAACGAAUUUCCAUGACCAUAUUCCAGACACCAUCAACUGUAUUUUAUGUUAUGAAAUGCAGUUGCUUUAUAUUGAUUACAAAAGCAAUAAUGAAGCUUCUAUACUUUCUCUCAGAUGCGCGGUAGUAUAGCAGCUUCAUUAAUGAAGCAAAUAAUGAAUCUGUGAGUUUGUUCCUAUAUAUAUGUUCAACUUUUUUCUUGUAGAUCAUACUGGAUAACAAAAAGAGAGGGAGAAAGGGUUGGCAGUGGGUUAAUUGAAGCCAAUGCCUGGCAUCUGCCGAUGCAGUAUCCUCCUUUGUUGGUCUCAUAGGGGAUGGUUGUUGAAUAUUGUUUGAGACGACGGGCACAAUCGACUUCUAACAACUUGAAUUUUAUUAUAUCAAAGUAAGGACUCGCUUCGGUCUUACAAUCUUGAUCACACUUGUUGCUUGCUUUAGCAACACUCUUUAUUUGAGCACACACUUGUUUGCUCUCUUGCUUUCUUACUUACUUGCUUGCUUACUUGGUUUAAUACUUACUUAGUUACAACUAAAAUGGACCACCUCUAUUUAUAGGAGGUGAUAGAAGAAUCUAGUGAUAUACAUACUACUCUAUACUAGAAUAUUUCUAGCUAUUUUUUUCUAGAACUACCUUUUCUAGAACAUUUUUAGACUAUUCUCUCUAGAAUACUCAUUCUAGAGAUCUUCCUUCAAUUCUCUACAACUCCGAAAUAUUCUAGAUUUCUUGAUUUAUCUUGAGUAAAUAAUUAAGUUGGUGAUGAAUUCUUAAUACUCCCCCUAAACACCAACUUAAUUUUUUCUUUGCGUUUGUUGUGAGCGGUUCCUGAAACCUUGCAAGCAUCAUGACGUCCAUGCCCUUUGAGGAUCUCCACUUUCGUUGGAUUAUUUUGAUCCCUACUCUUUGAAGCUUCUUCAAAGGUAGUAGCCUCUUUGAUGUUAACCACCUCAUUAAUGCUGCAUCUAUGUACUUGGUGUUUGGACGCUUCAGUCGAGUAGACCUCCUCAGUUGCCAUUGUGACCCUUUUUGGACUUCUUCUUCUUGCAACUCGUCUGGUGUUUCACAAGCUCCAGUUUGCCAUAAGCUUUUCUUUUCCUUUUGUGGAGAUACCUCCUGGUUAGUUUCAAUCUUGUUCCCUUGUUCUACUUCGUUGAGCUUAUCUUGCAGCUUUUGCUCAAGAGCUAUCGAGUCUGGCAGGGAGACUUCUUUGGACCACCAAGAUGACGCUUCGUCAAAUACCACAUUUCUUGACACAUAUGUCCGAUUAGUGACAAGGUCACAACACUUCUAUCCUUCUAUUUGUUCGUCGUAUCCAACAAAGAUGCACCGAACAACUUUCUUAUCAAAUUUGCUGCGGAGAUGAUUUGGCACGAACACAUAGCACACAUAACCAAAAACUCGAAAGUGACUUACAAUAGGGAUCAUUUUUUUAAGUUUUUCAAAUGGUGAGAUGAAUCUCAAUCUUUCCUGCUGCAGCCUGUUGGUGAUGUGGACAAUAGUUUUCAUGCAUUCUGUCCAAAACCUUGCUGGUACAUUCAUACUAUGUAGCAUACUUUUGCAUAUCUCUGCCAAAUGUCUAUUUUUUCUUUCAGCCACUCCAUUUUGUUGUGGCGUAUUCGGGCAAGUUAACAGUCGUCUUAUCAUCUACUUUUUAAGAUAAUCAUUGAACUCUCGUGACGUGUAUUCUCCCCCAUUGUCCGUACGGAGACAUUUGAUUUUUCUUCCAGUAUCAUUCUCCACAUUAUGUUGGAACCCUUUAAACUUCUCAAAUACUUCUCAUUUCUCUUUUAAUUAGUAAAUCCAUACGUACCAUGAGAAGUCAUCAAUGAAUGCUACCAUGUAACGGUAACCACUGAUGGAGGACUGCUUCACUGGUCCAAACACGUCUGAGUGUACUAGCUCCAAUUGCUUCUUUGCUUGAUACUUUGAUUCUUCAUAGGGAAGUUGAUGUGCUUUCCCAUAUUGACAUCUAACACAUAUAGUGUCUCCUAUAAUCUCAAGUUUGGGAAGACCUUUUAAUUUUGAUUGCUGCAUCAUGAUUUUUAGUUUGUUGUAGCACAUGUGCCCAAGACGUGUAUGCCACAGAUCAGCUGUUUCAUUACUUCGAGUUUUCUCAACAUAAGUUGUCUCGGCUGACAUGACGUAGAUUGAUUCUAACCUUUUUCCUUCCAUGAUUGGUGUGCUUGUAACUUUUAAGUUUCGAUAUACUUUUAUGUCAUUUGGCCCAAACAAGACAUAAUUACCAGAAUCUGUUAGUUGCGAUACAUAUAAUAAGUUUUUCUUCAUACCUGGAACAUGGUAGAUAUUUUGAAGUUCCACUUGCCUCGAGCUAUUAUGAGACACAAACACCGUCUUGCCAAUAUGCGUUAUUGGCAUUUUUGAAUUAUUUGCAGUUACCAUUACUUAACCGUCUUUACAUUCACUCAUGUUAAUGAGAUUUUUCUCAUCACCAGUCAUGUGAUUGGAAUAUCCUGAAUCAACGAUCCAAUAAUGUUCAUAAUCGACCAAUUUCUCAUUUACAAUUGCAAGUGCAAUCUCUUCUUCUUUGUUAGGGUGACACAUGACAAGAUCCUCUUGUUGAUUAGUUUCUUCAACUGUAUAAGAGGUCUCGAAAUCCCAAAUUUCUUCAUCUUUCUUGUUUUGAGUAGAAUUAUCUACAUUACCUUCAGCUUUCCUGUACAGUAGUCCUAGCAUAGUGUCCUUUCUUUCCACAAUUGUAGCAUUUCUCCAUUUUUCGGUUGUUGAAGCCUUUCGCCUGCUUGUUUUGCCGUUGAGUUCUUUGAUGUUGAUUCUUUUUCUCUCUCCCUGGCCGCGAGCUUCUCUUUUUUUGAAAGUCUUGCCUUUUGUUGAAAAGCGCCUUAUCUUCGUCUUUAUAGUGACACUUUAUAAUGGCUUCUCCAAAUCUUCUUCACUUGCCAACAAAUUUUCCAACUCAGAUAAAGUUGGUUCUGUGGCCCAUCCCCAUGUAGCUGUAAUUAUGCCUUUGUAUUCCGGCCUUAGACCAUGAACAAUGAUUCUCCUCAUUCUCGUCUCUGUGAUAGCAUUCUCUGAAUCUAAUUUUGAUAUUUCAUCAGAUAAAGAUUUUACCUUUGAGAAGUAUUGACUGAUCGUCAUAUUCCGUUGAGAGAUCGACAAAAGCUCAUUUUCAAGUCUUUGUAAUCUUGCAUCAUUUUUCUUUGUAAAAAUCGAUGUCAAGGUUUCCCAAUCUUCUUGGGGUGCCUUGGCAUUCUUAAUUUGUUGUAGGAACUCAUCCUCGGUGGUUACAGUGAGAGCAUACAUGGCCUUUCCAACUUUGACCUUCUACCUUUUUGCUGCUUCAACAUCUGUUGGUGGUGUGGUGUUUGAUCCACUGAUGAUAUCCCAUAAUUCUUGGCCGAGAAAGUAAUAAUGCAUUCUCUGCUCCAUGAUCCGUAGUUGCUUGUGUUGAGCUUCUCAACGCUAUUGAGAGUGCUUGCGAAAUCUGCCAUUGAUAAGUGCCUCACGACUUGUAGCCUCUGACAAUAGCUUCUAAGAUUUUCUUUACUACCUCGCUCUUAUCCACCAGGCUCUGAUACCACUUGUUAAAUAUUGUUUGAGACGAUGGACACAAUUGACUUCUCACAACUUGAUUUUAUUAUAUCAAAGUAAGGACCCGCUUCAGUCUUACAAUCUUGAUCACACUUGUUGCUUGCUUCAGCAACACUCUUUACUUGAGCACACACUUGUUUGAUCGCUUGCUUUCUUACUUACUUGCUUGCUUACUUGGUUUGUUACUUAGUUACAACUCAAAUGGACCACCUCUAUUUAUAGGAGGUGAUGGAAGAAUCUAUAGAGAUACAUACUACUCUCUUCUAGAAUAUUUCUAGCUAUCUUUUUCUAGAACUACCUUUUCUAUAACAUUUUAAGACUAUUCUCUCUAGAAUACUCAUUCUAGAGAUCUUCCUUCCAUUCUCUACAACUCCGAAAUAUUCUAGAUUUUUCUUGAUUUAUCUUACUUAAAUAAUUAAGUUGGUGAUAAAUUCUUAACAAUGGUAAUGAUCUUUAUACUCAAAUUUGACCUAAUUAUGUAUCUUUUUCUUUUAGCGAACGAGUUUUCACCAUUGAUUUGUUUAAUUGUAUCAUUGAGAACUAAUCAAAAUGUGUGUACUGGUUUUACUUUAAGCAUGAAAUACUAAUAUGUACUGUGGAGUGUUGCUAUUAAUUUGGUCUAGAAUAGUUUAUGAUUUUUUAUAUUCACAAUAUCAUUUUUUAUUAAUAAAGUACAUUUAUGUAUGUAAUGUCUACAAUAAUUACAACAUAGCUAGUGUAGUCGCACAAGUGGGGUCUGAGGAGGGUAGGAUGUACGCGGACCUUAGUUCUAUCUUUGCGGGGCAGAAAGGUUCUUUUCAAUACAUCCUUAGCUCAAACGAGAAGGUAAUCAAAGCAAGGUUGCAAGGAAAUAUGACAACAAAAAUAUCAGGAUAGAAAGAAAGCAAAUGAAGCAAUAGAUUGUAGAACACCUUGGAGCAUAGGAAACUACGUGAUUACUAGAUACUACUACUAAUAAGGCUAUUGGGGGGGUGGGGGAUGUGGCUAGCGCUUGUCUCUCCCAUCUAAAAAUAGGGGACAACACUUGGCUAUAUACUAGCAUUCUACCCUAAUUCUUGACUUCCACACCUUUCUAUUUAUGUCCUCAGUAAUUUGGAGUUAUGUCAUAUCCUGUCUAAUCACUUCCCCCAUCCCAGUUUUUCUUCAGCCUACCUCUACCUCUUUUCUUCUCUCAAUUUCUCAAUUUGCCCGUCCCCUUGUCAAAUCUUUUUCAUCUACGGACGUCACGUCACUCUUUGCCUUUUCAUCAACAAGGUGGGGAACAAAACAAUCCUCUUCUUCUUCUUCCCCCAUUUACGUAGCUGCUGUGGAAACCCUAGAAUUAAUCCUGAUGGAAUUGAGCUUUGUUCCUCUUCUUCAAUUGGUUGUUGAAUCUGAUGCGUGAAUUGGUUCGAUCUAUUGCUUCGAGGUCGGUCGAAAUUUUCGAUUGGCGGAGUCUAAAAUGGAAAAUCAAUUACAAUUGGCCUUGACCAGUCCUACUACGCCGUUCUCGAGCUUGUUCGACUCGCAGAAGGAAAUUCUCAAUAGCCAGAUUUAUCAGCUCCAAAACAUCAUUGUACAACAAUGUAACCUCACUGGCGUCAAUCCCCUCUCUCAAGAGAUGGUUCGUUUUCUUAAUCUUUGUUUUUUUCUGAAGUUUUUUUUAUUUGAG
Molecule: long non-coding RNA, 19798 nt
Filed under: Solanum tuberosum (potato)
Lineage: Eukaryota; Viridiplantae; Streptophyta; Magnoliopsida; Solanales; Solanaceae
Description: long non-coding RNA (STUB_LNC009344)
Source: RNAcentral